AGUAGACUGGUCCAGGCACCCUCUGGACCACUGCCAGCAGACCAAGGGUCUUUUCCUGUUAGCUAGCCUCUCUGGAGUUGUGGGUUGCAGUCUGGCCAUCCUUUCCCUCACAUCUGGUAUCUACUUAUGAAACUUUCCAUGGAACAGUAGCAGAAUUCAUUUUUAUCAGCAGCCUGAGC
Long non-coding RNA from Peromyscus eremicus (cactus mouse), 179 nucleotides. RefSeq lists it as uncharacterized. The record is from RefSeq and is a predicted model, not a curated record. The transcript has 3 exons. Lineage: Eukaryota; Metazoa; Chordata; Mammalia; Rodentia; Cricetidae.